Molecule: ribosomal RNA, 585 nt
Filed under: uncultured bacterium
Lineage: Bacteria
Description: partial 16S ribosomal RNA
Rfam family: Bacterial small subunit ribosomal RNA
Source: RNAcentral
UGGGGAAUUUUGGACAAUGGGCGAAAGCCUGAUCCAGCAAUGCCGCGUGUGUGAAGAAGGCCUUCGGGUUGUAAAGCACUUUUGUCCGGAAAGAAAUCCUUGGCUCUAAUACAGUCGGGGGAUGACGGUACCGGAAGAAUAAGCACCGGCUAACUACGUGCCAGCAGCCGCGGUAAUACGUAGGGUGCAAGCGUUAAUCGGAAUUACUGGGCGUAAAGCGUGCGCAGGCGGUUUGCUAAGACCGAUGUGAAAUCCCCGGGCUCAACCUGGGAACUGCAUUGGUGACUGGCAGGCUAGAGUAUGGCAGAGGGGGGUAGAAUUCCACGUGUAGCAGUGAAAUGCGUAGAGAUGUGGAGGAAUACCGAUGGCGAAGGCAGCCCCCCUGGGCCAAUACUGACGCUCAUGCACGAAAGCGUGGGGAGCAAACAGGAUUAGAUACCCUGGUAGUCCACGCCCUAAACGAUGUCAACUAGUUGUUGGGGAUUCAUUUCCUAGUAACGUAGCUAACGCGUGAAGUUGACCGCCUGGGGAGUACGGUCGCAAGAUUAAAACUUAAAGGAAUUGACGGGGUCAUAGCUGUUUCCU